RNAcentral lists this unclassified non-coding RNA (391 nucleotides) under soil metagenome. RNAcentral describes it as "partial contains 5.8S ribosomal RNA, internal transcribed spacer 2, and large subunit ribosomal RNA". The stretch from base 1 to 122 matches the Rfam family "5.8S ribosomal RNA", at positions 35 to 154 of the family's 154-position model. The record is from RNAcentral.
GAUGAAGAACGUAGCGAAAUGCGAUAAGUAAUGUGAAUUGCAGAAUCCCGUGAACCAUCGAGUCUUUGAACGCAAGUUGCGCCCGAAGCCAUUAGGCCGAGGGCACGCCUGCCUGGGCGUCACACGUCGUUGCCCCCCCAUCUACUCCUUCGGGAUUGCGGGGGGCGGAUGAUGGCCUCCCGUGCGCCUCGUCGCGCGGUUGGCAUAAAUGCCAAGUCCUCGGCGACACACGCCACGACAAUCGGUGGUUGCGAAACCUCGGUUGCCCGUCGUGUGCGGUCGUCGCGCAUCGAGGGCUCGAAAAAAUUGCCGGGCUCCGGCUCGGCUUUCAACGCGACCCCAGGUCAGGCGGGGUUACCCGCUGAAUUUAAGCAUAUCAAUAAGCGGAGGA